UUGAUCCUGGCUCAGGACGAACGCUGGCGGCGUGCCUAACACAUGCAAGUCGAACGGAGAUAGUUAAUGAAGCUUGCGAUUUAGCUAUCUUAGUGGCGAACGGGUGAGUAACGCGUGGGUAACCUGCCCUUAAGACCGGGACAACAGCUGGAAACGGCUGCUAAUACCGGAUGUAUUGUCCGAGAGGCAUCUCUUGGAGAAGAAAGCUGGCCUCUGAAAAUGCUAGCGCUUAGGGAUGGACCCGCGUCUGAUUAGCUAGUUGGUGGGGUAGCGGCCUACCAAGGCGACGAUCAGUAGCCGGCCUGAGAGGGUAAACGGCCACACUGGGACUGAGACACGGCCCAGACUCCUACGGGAGGCAGCAGUGGGGAAUCUUCCGCAAUGGACGAAAGUCUGACGGAGCAACGCCGCGUGUAUGAAGAAGGCCUUCGGGUUGUAAAAUACUGUUGUUAGGGAAGAACGGCAUCUGUGUAAAUAAUGCAGGUGAUUGACGGUACCUAACGAGGAAGCCCCGGCUAACUACGUGCCAGCAGCCGCGGUAAUACGUAGGGGGCAAGCGUUGUCCGGAAUCAUUGGGCGUAAAGGGCGCGUAGGCGGCAAUAUAAGUCUGAUGUGAAAGUGCGGAGCUUAACUCCGUAAAGCAUUGGAAACUGUAUGGCUUGAGGACAGGAGAGGAAA
Molecule: ribosomal RNA, 678 nt
Filed under: uncultured bacterium
Lineage: Bacteria
Description: bacterial SSU rRNA
Rfam family: Bacterial small subunit ribosomal RNA
Source: RNAcentral